GGCCUUAUGCUACAAAUUUGCUGACAAUCUCUCAUGUUCUUACAUCAUUUUUGCAAUACAGGCGCUUUCCAGAUUGCACAUGUGAGAACACUGAUGUUCGCAGAAGACAAGUAAUGGACCCUGAGUAACAGCCAAUCACUGGACUUUUUCAUCUAACUGCAAGCUUGUAUCAUGGGAACUUUUUGAUGAGAUCAACUGAAUCUGUCUCGGAACCUCAGAGAAGAUUUUGUUGAGGAACAGGCUUGAGAAGGAAUAGAAGCAUUCAAGACAAAAUGGGAGCCAGGUCAAUCUUCUUGAAGGAAGUCCUAUGUUUACAUUUCAGAAUGAUGUGGAAAAGGAGGAAGGUUGAUUUUGAAGCCAGAUGGUUCUUGUUUCUGUCCUGGCUUCACUGUUGUCUUUGUGGCCUUGGGUGAGUUUAUCUGUGAGUCCCAGUCUAUUCCUCCAUAAAAUAAGAAUGAUAUUUCUAAAAGAGAUUUAAGAUACUAAACAUAAAGUGUUUGUCACCAAAAGCUAUAUGAAAAUAGUGGUUACUUUCUCCCAGGCAGCUUCUUACUUCUUAGACACUGAGUACCUGUAGGUACUCAUAUCCUUGACUGGUUGACACAUUUCUCCAACCAUCCCAUCAUAGUCCAUUUGGACUACUAUAGCAAAAUGCCAUAGAAUGG
Molecule: long non-coding RNA, 665 nt
Filed under: Bos indicus x Bos taurus (hybrid cattle)
Lineage: Eukaryota; Metazoa; Chordata; Mammalia; Artiodactyla; Bovidae
Description: lncRNA (ENSBIXG00005007621.1)
Source: RNAcentral